This 271-nucleotide ribosomal RNA is filed under the name uncultured bacterium. Its description in RNAcentral is "partial 16S ribosomal RNA". It matches the Rfam family "Bacterial small subunit ribosomal RNA", at positions 524 to 794 of the family's 1533-position model. The record is from RNAcentral.
UACAGAGGGUGCAAGCGUUAAUCGGAAUUACUGGGCGUAAAGCGCGCGUAGGUGGUUUGUUAAGUUGGAUGUGAAAUCCCGCGGCCCAACCGUGGAACUGCCUUUGAUACUGGCGAACUUGAGUGCGUGAGGGGUAGGGGGAACGAGCAGUGUAGCGGUGAAAUGCGUAGAUAUUGCUCGGAAGGCCAGAGCCGAAGGGGCCCUACUGGUGCGUAACUGACACUGAGGCACGAAAGCGUGGGGAGCAAACAGGAUUAGAUACCCGGGUAGU